RNAcentral lists this long non-coding RNA (9144 nucleotides) under Coffea arabica (coffee). Its description in RNAcentral is "long non-coding RNA (CARA_LNC003813)". The record is from RNAcentral. Lineage: Eukaryota; Viridiplantae; Streptophyta; Magnoliopsida; Gentianales; Rubiaceae.
AACAAUAAUGGUUCCAAAAUUGGAGGGAGUUCUCGGCUUACCAGGGGCGCCGGCAACUGCAACACUGGUGGUAUUUGGUCCGCCCGUAAACACUUGAAGGUACACAGUAAUAUUUGUUUCCUUUCCACGGCAGCAAUAGUAAGGGUCAAGACGAUUAGCUUCUGAACAAACAAAGAUUGCUAGUAAUAGCACAAGGGAAAUUUGGAUGGAUGCUAAAGCUGAACCUUUUGCCAUUUUGUAUGUUGAAAGGCUAGCUGAAAAACAAAGAAGGAAGAAACAAAAUAGUUAGAUGGUAAAGAUAAUUUGUUCAAUGACCGUAUUUAUAGGAUAGAGGAGGUAGCAGUUGCAAAUGGUUAAAGUAGAACAAUUAAAUCAAUCUUGACUUUUGAUUUUUCUACAUAUAAAUGGUUUAAAUGAAAUAAUAUUACAUUUCAAAGAGUUAGGUAUAGCACAAAAAGUUUUAAAAGACAAUUAAACAUCAAUGGGUGGCCACCUAUCACGAUAGGUUUGUGUAAUGGUGUGCUGUACUCAGCAGAUAUAUCAUUCAAAGUUCAGAGCCAAGAAUUUCUUUUGAUAUAUAGUGGGAUAAUGGAGAACCUUGAAUACAUGAAACACAUUUCCCUAAAAAAAAAUGAAAUACAAUCGAUAAGGUUCUGGAAAAGGAUUAACUCCACUCUGCAUUUUCAAACUUGUACCACUUUAACAAGGUUCCAAACAUAUACUCAGUAGAUAAAUUAAUGUUGACUUUUGAUGUUUCUGCAUAUAAAUGGUUUAAAUGAAAUAGGAUUGCAUUUGCAAGAGUUAGGUAGAGCACAAAAACUUUUAAAAGAGAAUUAAACCUCAAUGGGUGGCCACCUAUCAUAGUAGGUUAGUGUAGAAUGGUGUGGUAUACACGGCAGAUAUAUCAUUCAAAAUUCAUAGUUAAGAAUUUCUUUUAAUGAUGGUUAUCUAGGAGGGUGCCAGCGGCCAAACGGGGCUCGGGGGGAGGAAGAAUUUUUUCCCCCAUUAGAAAACGGGGUAGCCGGAGAGGGAGUUUACACCCACCCCAUCCCCUGCCCCAUCACCCGUUGAGAAAAAUUAAAUAUAUAUGUAUAUAAUUAUAUAUGUGAUAUUUAAUUUAAUUAGUUACAAAUUUAUAAUAAUGAUAUUAUUAGUUAUAAGUAUUAUAUAAUUUAUAUUAGUAUUUGUAAUAUUAUUGAUAUUAUCAAAUGCUAAUAAUUAUACAUGUCUACUAAUAAAAAUUAUUAAUUAGUUGUAUCAAAUUUACUAAUACAUUUAUACUAAAUUCCUAAUUACACUUAACACAAUAACACUUCUUUUCUCAAAAAAUCACACAACAAUGAUUUAGUGGUUGUAUUUGUAUCCAAAGUGAAAACUUGAUUACUUUAGUUGUGUUUGUUUCAUCAUAUUGGGAUGUAUUUAAAUAACUCUUGUUUGAUUGUUUUUAUGACACACAAUUGUGAAAUUACAAUGAAUAAUGAUUUGGUGAUGUGUUGGCAUUUAAGUAUUUGAUCCUUUGUUCAAAUAUGACUACAAUGAAAUUGUAUGACAAAUUUUUAUUCGCCCUGUGGGUGCGCCCAUAGGGGAAGCGGGGCAAGGCGGGGACGGGGUUGGGGAGGAGUCCCCUGUCUAACCCCCACCCCAUUGCCAUUCCUAAUUUCUUUUGCUAUAUAGUGUAAUAAUGGAAACCUUGAAAACUUGAAACACAUUUACCAAAAAAAAAAAAUGAAAUACAUUUAACAGGGCUCCGAAAAAUGACUAACUCCAUUUUGCACCUUCGAAUUUGUACCGGUUUAACAAUGUUCCAAACUUAUACUCAGGAGAUAAAUCAAACUUGACUGUUGAUUUUUCUGCAUAUGAAUGGUUUAAAUGAAAUAAGAUUACAUUUCAAAGAGUUUGGUAGAGCAUAAAAAAGUUUUAAAAGAUCGUUAAACCUCAAUGGGUGGCCACCUAUCAAAGUAGGUUUGUGUAGAAUGGUGUGGUAUACAUAGCAGAUAUGUCAUUCAAAGUUCAGAGUCAAGAAUUUCUUUUGCUAAAUAUAUAGUGAGAUAAUGAAAAACCUUGAAAUCUUGAAACACUUUACCUAAAAAACAAAUUACAAAACAAUGAAACACAUUUCACAAGAUUCUGGAAAAGAAUUAACUCCGCUUUGCACCUUCGAACUUCUACCACCUUAAUAAGGUUCCGAACUUACAUUGAGUAGCUAAAUCAAUCUUGACUUUUGAUUUUUCUGCAUAUAAAUGGUUGAAAUGAAAUAUGAUUACAUUUCUAAGAGUUAGGUAGAGCGUAAAAAGUUUAAAGAGAGAGUUCAAUAUAAAUGGGUAGCCACCUAUGAAAAUUGGUUUGUAUACAGUGGUAUACUCAGCAGAUGUAUCAUUCAAAGUUGAUAGUCAAGAAUUUCUUCUGUUGUAUUGUGGGAUAAUGGAAAACCUUAAAAACUUGAAACAAAAUUACCUGAAAAAAAAAAAACAAGGCAACACAUUUAAUAAGGUUCUAGAAAAGGAUUAACUUGACUUUGCAUCUUCGAACUUAUCCCACUUUUAAUUUCAUUUUGUACCCCAAAUUUUAAUUUUGAACACUUUGCACCCUAAGCUUUAAUUUCACCUUUUAGUCUGAGGCCAUUCAUGUUUGCAAAUUGCAUAAGAGCCACUCAUUUUCUUGUUGGUUACGUGUUGUAAUAGGCUUUUAGCAUCCUCUCAUUAAAAAAUUAAUUUAAAAAAAUGUCCAAGUAUAGGUUUCAAUUUUGUAGUUGAAAUUGAAAAUGUUCACGAAUGUUUAGCUAUUUACACGCCAUAUAGGCUUCCAACCUCCUAACCCUAAAAUUUAGGGGGUUUGGGGGGAAGGGGAGGGUUGGAUGAAGAGCAGAGAUUGAAAUAAUAAAUCUUUUGUAGCGUUCAUUAAGACAUUGAUCGAAUAAGAGAAUGUCUGAAGAGAAAUUGGAAUGAAACAAAUAUCUUAAUUGCACUAGAGAAGUGCAAUUGAAUAUGGUUCUCGAGAAUGUAAUUUCCGUUGAUUUCUAUGUAGCAGAUUGUUGUAAAAUUUGUCUGAAGAGACAAUCGAAUACCCCCAAAACUCGCCGAAUUCCUAACAGUUCACAUAUCUUUUGGAGUCGAAUUACAAGUCCACGUAUGUUUCUCCACCCUUGUGAUCAUCCCCCAGAAUACACAAUUUGACAAGAAACUCAAUCUGACCGCAUUGAAACUGGACAAUUGGGAUGCAGGACUUGAAGAAUCUUUUUCUACAUAAAACAUCUUAUAUGAUGUUCUUUUAGCCAUUUCAGUUACCUCAUACCAACUACUCAAACAUGAAAGCAUUAGAAGGGACAGGAGAGCAAGUAUUAAAAGCCACAAUCAGUCAAUGCACAUCAUUUUCUUACAAAUUAGUAUAUUUAAAGAGCUAUUGGAAAAUGACACUAUCUAAGCACAAGAAAAACUGAUUAUGAUUUCAUCAAUAAUCACAGCUUUCAAUGGAGCUGUCAAAGAAGAAUUGCAACCUCUUAUUGAUGAAUUUAUUGAAAUAGGUAAACUACUAAAGAAAACGACUUUAAAUCUAGAGGAGAUAUGAUACCUUCAUAAAAGUUCAUCCUCCACUUUUGUGAAGACCAAUAAAUAGGGUAAAGUGAGCAAAAAAUUACAAUAAAACUGGCAAGGGGAAAAAGCGAGAGAACACCAAAACAUCAAAACGUACCUUCAAGACUGAAUGAAGAAAAGUAGCUUCCUUUUUCCUUUGCUCCUUCAUCUAACAAAAAUUUAGAAUAAAUAAAUGUCAACAAAAUCAAAUUUAUUGGGAAAAAGAAAAUAAAAAUGACAUUAGAUUAACUUUUUCUAGGGAAAAAGAAAUAGAGAGCCUAAACAAUCUCAUCUUCAAAAAAGAAUUUACAAAUCUUAAUAUCUCAACCUAUUACAAACAUUUGAAACUUAUUGGAGCAUAGAUAAUUAAUAUGUUAGAACAUCAAAUCUAGCAUAGGGGAUGCGAGACCACAAUAGGAAACAAAACAAUAGUAAUAAAGCCUGAGGAUUAGCAAGAAGAGAAGAAAUUGUGUUCCCCAAACAAUAACCAGCAUUCAGCACUAAACAUCUGAAUGCAUUUUCAAUUUUUCAAAUCCAGCUCAUACUAAUGCAAUACUUAUUCAAGCAAAAUAGAUUAGUUUGUAAUGCCAGCAGAUAACAAAGGACCUAAAAGUCAAAAUAUCAAAUUGUUAAACCUUGAAAACUUACAAAGUUACUUUUUGUUGUCCGCUUAUGUGGUGACUGCAUCUUUAUGUACCUUGAAUAUCAAGAACAUGACUGGCAAGUGUGAGAGAAUGAGUCCCAAGAAUAUGCCAAUCAGGUCAUAUUCUGCCACCACCUUCACUUCCAAUAUUACAUGCUCAACCUGAAAUUUUGCAGGAUUAAAGAAUUUAAAUCAUCUUCUCAAUCAGAAAUUACACAAAUUAACAGCAAAGUUUAAACAACAAAAAAGGUCAUAUUCUGCUAAAAUAUAAAUAUAAUGUGGCAUAUAAAGGAGAGGUAACAAUUUUAAGCAUUCAUUAGUCAACCUUUCUUAACUUCCUAGACAUUAGACAUUGACUAAAUAGUUGAUUGCACAAUAUAAACAACUACAAUAUGUAUCCAUAUGUAAAACAAUGUAAUAACUAUUAUUUGUGUCAGCAAAAUGACACCAUAAAUACAAAAACAAUCUAAAACAAAAUUAAGUCCAAAAGAAAAGUCAUGCAAAAAAGUCAAAACAAUUACAGCAAUUUUUUUGUCCCACUGUUAAUUCAACCAAGACUUGGUACAAGAUGAAAACAAUAUUUGGCAUCAAGGACACUACAAGAUGAAAAUGUAAAUUAUUAAGAUUAAAUGUAAAUGAUUAUGAACAUCCACUUGAUAAAAAAUGAGGAACUAAGAUACAAAGGACAUCUCGAUGUUUCAGGGAAAAUGAAGUUCUGCUUAAUAGAGCUUAGAGUCAUAAAGAUAUAAGCCGAAUCAUUGGAAACGCUAGCAUUACCAAAAGUUGUCCUUCCUUUUCGCCUAUCCUAAUAACUUAUCCCCAAUCCAGAUAGGCAGUUUGUGGAGUGUCAUUACUAGCACCAAUCCUUUUGAUCAUCUACUAAUGCAUUCUAAGUUUUUAGGAAUUGCACUAAUAAAGAUAUUACAUUAGUAACAAACAUAGUCAUCCAACGCACAGAAAACCAUAAUGCAUAAUACCUUCCAAUUAUGUGAAAUUUACCAUUUUGAAAUGGUUCUCAGAAAAACUCAAUAUUUUCACCUGCAAACCCAGAAAAAAGGAUAUUAUUCACAUAAAUAAAAAAAAAGGAAAAGUGCAGAAAAUUUCAAAUAGUGGAAGCCAAAGGCUGAGAAAUAUAUGCAUUGAAUUUGAGAAGGAGAAACACCUAGAUUUAACACUCCAACCAUCAAAAAAGUCAAUGAAUUUCAUCAUUCAUAUGGAAAGGAAUUCAGCUAUUACUCCAAAUAUCUUAAUUAGAUCGACAGCUUUUGCUGCACCAGAAUUCACUGUUAAGCCUCUAAUGUAAAAUUUAAUAGGGAUACUAUGAGUUAUAUCAGGUUUCACCUUUGUACUCUCCAACAAGUUUCUUUUAUUUAAGAAAAAAGACAAUUAAAUGCAUGUUAAAUCAUAGCAAAAUGAUCUGAUACUCAAAUAAAAAAAUAGAGAAAGGUGAACUGCAAAACAACGAUUUUUUCACUUUUAGCUAUGUAACAAAAAAUGUGAAAGGCAAAAAAAAAGUGUGCUUUCAACGUGAAUUUUGACAAUAUUAUCUAUCCCAGAUGUAAAUAGUCAAGUCCAUAAAUUGUUAAUUAGGCAUACAACAAAACAAACUAUUGAUAACUUUUAAUUCGAGCAUGUUACCUCAUGCAAUUCACAUUGAACUCAUCUAGAGUAAAGUUCAUUAAUCUUAGUGCCUCUAGAGAAUUGCCGUCACUAACUCUUUAAGCUUCAUAGUCGUCUAGCUCAAUCAAACUAAAAAAGAAUUAAGCUGAACAAAUUAGUCAAGUAAAAAAAAGGAUUAAAAGAACAAAACAGAAACCAUUUCUACAGGUAUAGAGAUACAAGAGAUUUUGAGCUACUAACUAAAAAGAAAAGGGAAAAACUAUAACAGUGUAGCAAUGUGAUACAUUUCCUAGUCAGGGGGUAUGCAAUUUAAAGUUGUUUAGAAACUGUUCAUCGUAAUAUUCCAUCCAUAUUUGAUUUUGGAGAUUUUCCUUGUAUUUUAUGUGCAUGCAGGUCAAUUUUACUUCUUCCACUUGUAGUUCAAAUUUCUUUGACAACAGUGCCAGCCGACCUUCAGAAUGGUACUUUUUCAAGUCAACAUAGACGUAUUACACCAGUGACAAAAACUUCUCAUACGGAAAUAUUGGUGGAGUUUUGAUCAAGAUAAGCAGAAUCAAAACAUCAAGGCACCACAGAUUGCCUAAAAAAAAAAAAAACCUGCUAUAGCCGGAUAAUGCUCAAAACAAGAAAUAGCAAAGUCACUAAGCACUAAAUUUGGAGUAAUUUACCUAACCCUAACAGUUAACGAAAAAAGUUCCCUACUUGCUCCUUUCUCUGGCAAAUACUUGAUCCAUUCUCUAACAAAAAAAAAAUGGGCAACAAAACUUGGUUAAAUAAAAUCAUAGAAUGUUUAUAGCACAACAACACUAUGGUUCAAGUGAUUUUUCCAUCAUCCCUUCAACCAUCAUAACUGUAGACACUCAAGAAUAAGAGACAAAAAAUAUUCCGAUGGAUCUGAGAGACUUUAGAGAUAGUUACAAAAAGAAAAAAAAAAAGGUCUUAUCAAAGAAAAAAACCUUGAGUAGAACAUACCUCCGAAGAAAAAGAAUAAAACCAAGUACAUCUGCAAGCCAUUUGUUCUUAUCUCAGAGAAAACAAAAAGAGGGAACAAAAAAAAAAAGGAAAUAAAAAGGUCAGAAAAAAUAAAAAUAAGACCGAGGCCUACAAAAUAACAAGAUAAUUAUGGGAAAAAAAUACAUGAAAUUGUUUGGCAUCACACAAGAGCAAAUAGACAAAGAAAAAAACCUGAUAUGAUGAGAUUCAUCUUCAGCCUCCAAGAGAAAUACGGGGGUGGGAAGUGGACAAAUAGUGAAAAAAUAUAGGGAAAAAAUAGCGAAGAGAGGUCUUGCAGAAGAGUAAAAUGAGAAGCUGGAGAUAUAUCUAAGGGGGAAGCGUAAAAUGGGAAAAAGAGGUCUUGUAGAAGUGGAAAAAAAAAAAAAUAGGAAAAAAUUUUAAUCCAAAUCUACAGAGGAAAAAUGAUCACCUCAGGAGUUUUCUUGCCUGUGGAAGAGGAAGAUGGCAGAGGAGAAGAAAAGGAGAGAGAAUGGCGGAAAAAGAGAAAAACGAAAAGCGAAGCAGAAGAAGAAGAAGAUGAAACGGAGAGAAAAAGAGAAGAAGAAUAGAUGAACAACUUGUGCCUUGUGGUCUCAAGCCCAUCACUCCGAAAAAAAAAAAUCAUGUGGCUUGGAAAAAAGAGAAGGAUAAAAGAAAUAGGAAAAACAAUAAAUGAAAGACAAAGAAAAUGGACGACAGCCUUUGCUUCACAAAGGUACAACCACACCCAAUUUUCAUCCACGCGGUCACGUGAUCUCCUCGUGUAGGACGACAACUUUUUAUCCAAUGCUGAAUUGACACAUCAGCAGCAACCACAAACCUGUUGCAAGUUUCCUAAGCACUUAGUCUACCUAAGGUUGAUUAACUAACUAUUUUGUGGCCAAACCAUUAUCCAUCUUGACCAUCUAAAUGGUGAAUUGCACUUUAAGCUUAAUGCUCAACAAAACAGAAGUUCUUAACCAUGUUAAGGAAAAAUAGAUGGAAAGGUCUUUUGUCACCUUUUGUUAGUUGUGGUAGUUAUAUAGCAGAAGGAUUACCAUUUGUUAAACUGAGUAAAAGAUUAUUUUUCAUAAAGCAAGUUCGAUGUACAUCAUAUGUAAAACAAAAGUUAUGAACAAUAAAGACUACCUUACAAUAAGACUUGGUGUACAAUUAUCAGUUCAAGCGAAUUCCACAAUUAGGUGAAGAUUUUAUCUAAGUUUCAAUACACAUCUUUAUUAGUAAACGCACAUAUCAUAUUUUAACACAUUCACGAACAUACGUAAUUGAAGAACACCAAUAGUGUAAUUCACAAGCUUACGUAAUGCGAAGCCAAGUGUAAUUGAAGAACACCAAUAGUGUUUUUAUUUAGAUGGACAUAUUGACGAAACAAGAAGUGCAUGAAGAAACGUCAUACAUUGAUUACCAAGUACACCUAAGACCACAAUAACGAUAAAAAUCUAUACUUUGUUUUCUUAUUUAUUAUUUUUCUUUUAUUAGUUAUUUUUUCCCAUCCUCCUUGAUGGAUUUCUUAGUAAGAUAGUCGAGUGAACAAGUAGGUCAUAAGAAACAUAAAUCACCAAGUACGUAUAUGGCCUGUAAUUGGCUUUUCUUAUUAUUAGUUUUUCCUUUAUUAUUCAAAAUUUCCCUCCUCCUGGGCAUGAGAUUACGGUAAUAUCGCCCCUUAUAACCGUAUUAUUCCGUGCCGGCCUUCGUAGAACUGUCUGAAAAAAUGCAUAUCCCCGAGCAAACCUAAACGUUUUGGUGCCACCAACUAUUGGAUCUUCUCUCGCCGGACUACCAACUUGUAAGUUAUAUCCUGCUCCUUGGAAUUCCAAUGUGCUACCGUUGUAUUUGAAGUUGGAGAAAAUGAGGGAAAAUAUGCCCAGUGAUCUUGAUCCAUCACGGGAUGAAGCUAUCUCAAUGCCUUGGGCCCGACCAAUAGUUGGAGAAUUGUUGCUGAUGCCUUGUGUUAUGUUAAAAUCAUUAACAAUAAUGGUUCCAAAAUUGGAGGGAGUUCUCGGCUUACCAGGGGCGCCGGCAACUGCAACACUGGUGGUAUUUGGUCCGCCCGUAAACACUUGAAGGUACACAGUAAUAUUUGUUUCCUUUCCACGGCAGCAAUAGUAAGGGUCAAGACGAUUAGCUUCUGAACAAACAAAGAUUGCUAGUAAUAGCACAAGGGAAAUUUGGAUGGAUGCUAAAGCUGAACCUUUUGCCAUUUUGUAUGUUGAAAGGCUAGCUGAAAAACAAAGAAGGAAGAAACAAAAUAGUUAGAUGGUAAAGAUAAUUUGUUCAAUGACCGUAUUUAUAGGAUGGAGGAGGUAGCAGUUGCAAAUG